This 684-nucleotide ribosomal RNA is filed under the name uncultured Bacteroidales bacterium. RNAcentral describes it as "bacterial SSU rRNA". It matches the Rfam family "Bacterial small subunit ribosomal RNA", at positions 62 to 734 of the family's 1533-position model. The record is from RNAcentral. Lineage: Bacteria; Pseudomonadati; Bacteroidota; Bacteroidia; Bacteroidales.
UCGAGGGGCAGCAUUUUAGUUUGCUUGCAAACUGAAGAUGGCGACCGGCGCACGGGUGAGUAACACGUAUCCAACCUGCCGAUAACUCCGGAAUAGCCUUUCGAAAGAAAGAUUAAUACCGGAUGGCAUACGAAUAUCGCAUGAUAUUUUUAUUAAAGAAUCUCGGUUAUCGAUGGGGAUGCGUUCCAUUAGUUUGUUGGCGGGGUAACGGCCCACCAAGACUACGAUGGAUAGGGGUUCUGAGAGGAAGGUCCCCCACAUUGGAACUGAGACACGGUCCAAACUCCUACGGGAGGCAGCAGUGAGGAAUAUUGGUCAAUGGGCGAGAGCCUGAACCAGCCAGGUAGCGUGAAGGAUGAAGGCUCUAUGGGUCGUAAACUUCUUUUAUAUGGGAAUAAAGUUUUCCACGUGUGGAAUUUUGUAUGUACCAUAUGAAUAAGGAUCGGCUAACUCCGUGCCAGCAGCCGCGGUAAUACGGAGGAUCCGAGCGUUAUCCGGAUUUAUUGGGUUUAAAGGGAGCGUAGGUGGAUUGUUAAGUCAGUUGUGAAAGUUUGCGGCUCAACCGUAAAAUUGCAGUUGAAACUGGCAGUCUUGAGUACAGUAGAGGUGGGCGGAAUUCGUGGUGUAGCGGUGAAAUGCUUAGAUAUCACGAAGAACUCCGAUUGCGAAGGCAGCUCACUAGAC